UCUGGUGUAAUCAGCUGUUUGAGUCUAACUCUGGUCUAUUUGCUUUUGUUUUCAAUCCGUAAACUGAACUCACUGCUGAAGGAAGAAGAACCUACAGAGCUGACAAAGAGGGUCUCAGUGGCCCCCCUAAAAUAUGGGGACGAUUCAGAUUGCUCAACUGAUAUUGAAACUCAGUCUCAGCAAGCAAAGAAGUCAAAGGCUCCCAGGAGGAUAGACCCUGCAGAAGAGUUUCUUAGGCGAUACGGUCAAUCACAGCCUUCUUCAGAUAAUCACAACAGUCCGACACAGACUAUGGUUGAAUUAAAGCAAGAGAUCAAGGACCUGAAAGAAGAGAACGUGAAGUUGAAGGAGAUUGUUCUUUAAGAUGUGCCAGGACUCCUACUGAGCUUGAGGAAUAUAAUAGAUUCGGCUACACCUCCUAAGAGAUCCAGGGUGGAGCCUACCAAAGCAUUACCGGCCCUUCCAGGGUCUCCGCAGUCCAGGUCCAGUUCUCCAUGUGCCACUUCACUGUCCCUCCCCAGAUCCAGUUCCACAUCUGUGUCUCCAUCCCUGACUGCCUCCCAGUCUUCUAAGGUAAUUGUUUUUUAAUACAGCAUAUAAAAUAGAUCUACUGCUUGCCAGACUUGCUUUUAAUUCAAUUCAAUUCAAAUUUGCUUUAUUGGCAUGAAUGUAACAACAAUAUUGCCAAAGCGUCCCACAAACCACAUAAAAACAAUCAACCCCAUACAUUUCAUUAAACAAGUAAUUACAGUGUAAAGUAAUGAGUAUGGCAGAUCUAAUCUGCUUAUAUGUCUAAAGUCUGUUGGGCUGAAGAAGUCAGACAUACUGGUAUUUUAAACUUUAAUGCUCACCUUGUGUCCAGGUUGAGAAACUGGCGUGGGCCUAUGCCAUCAAUGCCAAUUCGGCAAUAGUCUUUGUGAGGCAUCUGCUCACCGCAGUCUUUCCAGUGGAAAUACUGCUGGUGAGCAAUCUUCGGGGGAACAAACAAGGCGGAGGAGUGGCUCAUCAACCGUUAGAGCACAUUAAACUGUUUUGUUUGCUCUGAGUUUCACACAGGUGUGUCACAUAGUCCUUGGCCCUGGGGCAAAACAGGUUCUGACUACUGUCUACUGAAAGUAUUUACUGCUUAUAGUGCCUGUUUAUUCUGAGGUAUCCAGUGUGCAGAAAAAUAAAACUGGCAUAUAUGUAAGCCAUUAAGGCAUUUGAAGUUUACAUUCUAAAAUGUUUUUGUUUGUGUACUUUGCAAUUUCAAAAUCGAGUAUACUCAAGAUAUCUAAGUAAACAGUAUAGGCAAUAUCAGCAUUAUGCUCAGAGCGAUUGAUUGCACUUAAGCCCCAUGCCUCGUUCCUUGAAUGUGAAUACACCUGUUUGUAUUGACAAUGUUUAGUUGUUGGUGACACUAUUCCCAUGUUAGAAUAGGAAUAGGAUAAGCAUGUGCUCCUCAGGUUUGUAUGCAGGCUUGUAGUGUGUGAAAAUAUCAAAUUGUGAAAGAUAUUCCUAUGUAGUCACAAGUUCAUUUAAAUCUAAUAUUUGAAAACAAAUUGUUGUUAGGAUUAGGGUUUACUGCUGUCAGUACUGUAAUCACAGAAGAGUUUAACUG
Molecule: long non-coding RNA, 1600 nt
Filed under: Carassius auratus (goldfish)
Lineage: Eukaryota; Metazoa; Chordata; Actinopteri; Cypriniformes; Cyprinidae
Description: lncRNA (ENSCARG00000045523.1)
Source: RNAcentral